Molecule: ribosomal RNA, 573 nt
Filed under: Curvularia sp. BAB-4684
Lineage: Eukaryota; Fungi; Ascomycota; Dothideomycetes; Pleosporales; Pleosporaceae
Description: eukaryotic LSU rRNA
Rfam family: 5.8S ribosomal RNA (bases 191-344)
Source: RNAcentral
CGUAGGGUAACCUGCGGAGGGAUCAUUACACAAUAAAAUACGAAGGCCGUUCGCGGCUGGACUAUUUAUUACCCUUGUCUUUUGCGCACUUGUUGUUUCCUGGGCGGGUUCGCUCGCCACCAGGACCACAAUAUAAACCUUUUUUAUGCAGUUGCAAUCAGCGUCAGUAUAACAAAUGUAAAUCAUUUACAACUUUCAACAACGGAUCUCUUGGUUCUGGCAUCGAUGAAGAACGCAGCGAAAUGCGAUACGUAGUGUGAAUUGCAGAAUUCAGUGAAUCAUCGAAUCUUUGAACGCACAUUGCGCCCUUUGGUAUUCCAAAGGGCAUGCCUGUUCGAGCGUCAUUUGUACCCUCAAGCUUUGCUUGGUGUUGGGCGUUUUUGUCUUUGGCCCGCCAAAGACUCGCCUUAAAAUGAUUGGCAGCCGGCCUACUGGUUUCGCAGCGCAGCACAUUUUUGCGCUUGCAAUCAGCAAAAGAGGACGGCAAUCCAUCAAGACUCCUUCUCACGUUUGACCUCGGAUCAGGUAGGGAUACCCGCUGAACUUAAGCAUAUCAAUAAGCCGGGAGGAAAA